AUGCAUAAACCGUCUUGUGGUCAAAUUAAAUCGAGAACUACGAAGAUGGCGGCCCAGCUGAGCACGUCCGCUGCGGUGGCGGCGGCCGAUGAUACGUGGUCCAAGCUCCCGGCCGAUCUUCUCGGCGAGGUCUACGGCCGGAUCGUUUCCCCUCUCGACCGCGUCCGCUUCACCGUAGUCUGCCGCUCAUGGCGUGUUGUCAAGUCACGGCAACAGCCGGCGCCGACUUUGCCAUGGCUCAUCUUCUCGUCGUAUCAUGGCGGUGCGAUGCGCGUGUUCUGCCCCAUGGACGGUGUAUCCUUACGCCUUCAGCUCCCGCCCGAGGCAGUCCACAACAGGCUCGUCGGCUUUCAUGAUGGAGGCUGGAUCGCCGCCGCAUCCUCUCGCGACGGUGGUGCUGGUGACUGGCUAACGAUUGUCAAUCUCUAUUCUGGCGUCGAGGCGCCGCUCUCCGCCAAGCAACGCGCCACGCCAUACAUGGACAAGUUAGUGUGUUCGGAGCGCCCCACGUCAAAUCGUUGCAUCAUUGCCGUCACUACGGCCGGGCUCGCGGUGUGCAAAGUUGGAUGUCGCAACCAUAAUUGGUGGAGGUCGAGAGAGCGUAACCAUUACUACGACAUCGCUUUCUACGAUGGGAAGCUAUGUGGCCUACUCCGCCGCAGUCUACAAAUAUACACAAUUAGCAUGACCAAGAACAGCGAUCUGGUGGUCAGCAUCACCUACGAAUUGGACAUGAACCAACUACCCAAGUGUGUGGGAUCCGACGACGUCAGCUACAUUUUCAAGCACGGCGACAGGAUGUUGAUGGCCAAACGAGCCCAGUGGACGACAGUGCAGAACAGGCUUUUCUUCAAGGUGUUUGAGCUAAUAAAAAAUACACGUUACGAUUAUAGCUGGGUAGAAGUGACUACAUUGGACGACCAUGCCUUAUUCUUGAGUACCAAUUGCUCGAAGAUGGUGUACGUGCCGGCGGAUAGGCGUGGCGGAGUAGAGAGAAACCACAUCUACUACAACCAUUUAAAUUUACCAGGUGAUACUAAUCGCAUCUGCAAUGAUGUGCAAUUGAUGAAAUGUCACUACAGCGAACAUUUGUAUUGUAGGAAAGACAAAAAAAUCAAUGGAGUGGAUAGGAUCAAGUCAACAGGAUAUUACAGGACUAGUAACUAUAACAUUACUAAUGACUCUGCGGGUCUGAUGUGGCUUCUCCCCCCGGAAUUCUAG
This 1221-nucleotide ribosomal RNA is filed under the name Triticum aestivum (bread wheat). Its description in RNAcentral is "partial small subunit ribosomal RNA". Lineage: Eukaryota; Viridiplantae; Streptophyta; Magnoliopsida; Poales; Poaceae. The record is from RNAcentral.